Molecule: ribosomal RNA, 270 nt
Filed under: uncultured bacterium
Lineage: Bacteria
Description: partial 16S ribosomal RNA
Rfam family: Bacterial small subunit ribosomal RNA
Source: RNAcentral
CCCGCCGGCGACCGGCGCACGGGUGAGUAACACGUAUGGAACCUGCCCGCAGCAGGGGGAUAAGCGGAAGAAAUUCCGUCUAAUACCGCGUAACACCGCGGAGGGGCAUCCCUCGGCGGUUAAAGAUUCAUCGGCUGCGGAUGGCCAUGCGGCGCAUUAGCUAGUCGGCGGGGUAACGGCCCACCGAGGCGACGAUGCGUAGGGGUUCUGAGAGGAAGGUCCCCCACACUGGUACUGAGGCACGGACCAGACUCCUACGGGAGGCAGCAG